AGAACAUGAGGAGGACAAGGAGAGCACGGGUAGGCUGUGGCUGCCAGGCUAGCUAUGGUCAGAGUGGAAUAUGUUAGAGUACGUCAGAUCAAAUGAUUGGAGUGCCUGCAAUUGCAAAGUGUUAGAGGCAGCAGAACUAAUUCACCCCUCAGCAAAUCGGGAUGUGGAAGAAAUGUAAUCUUGGCUGAUGCGAUCUUGCCUGCAGAGCGCCUUGUGGCUUCACACAAAGGAGAGCUGGUGUUUCUGGUGGGGGAGUGGGGAGGGGGCCUGCAGUGCAUCAGGAGGUAAACGUGCCUGGGAGCAGCUCCACAAGCUCCAAAGUCCUACGUGCAGGAAACAAUUGUCUGAAACAGAGGCCACCGCUUGCAAAUGCCCUGGCCUUUCUCUACCUCCUGCCACCAGGCAGCAUUUCAGAUUCUCCCACCUUAGGAAAUGUUGAGCCUGGAUGAGAAAACAUUGGAAAAAAGUGGGGAGAAAAACAACGAGAAUACUGCGCUGUAAAUUUAAGGGAAGAGAAUAAAUACCCU
Long non-coding RNA from Oxyura jamaicensis (ruddy duck), 527 nucleotides. RefSeq lists it as uncharacterized. The transcript is spliced from 3 exons. NCBI's taxonomy places the organism in Eukaryota, Metazoa, Chordata, Aves, Anseriformes, Anatidae. The record is from RefSeq and is a predicted model, not a curated record.